This 228-nucleotide long non-coding RNA is filed under the name Eucalyptus grandis. RNAcentral's name for it is "long non-coding RNA (EGRA_LNC005757)". The record is from RNAcentral. Lineage: Eukaryota; Viridiplantae; Streptophyta; Magnoliopsida; Myrtales; Myrtaceae.
GAGCAUCCGGGCUCGGGAAGCCGGCCAAAACGGGCCAAACAUGGGCUGCCAUACCCAUUUUUCCAGUCACUGAUUUGGGGCUGGAGGAGGCGGAUCCGGCGCCGGAAUGGGCGGAGGAACGGCAGAGAAGCGGCGGCUGCAGCUUGGCGGGCGAGGCGGCAGCUCCGGCGGGACUCACGGUGGCCGGAGGUGACUGAAUCGCGGCCUGAGCUGGCCGAACAGCCCCCG